UACGGGGGGGGCAAGCGUUGUUCGGAAUUACUGGGCGUAAAGGGCUCGUAGGUGGCCAACUAAGUCAUACGUGAAAUCCCUCGGCUUAACCGGGGAACUGCGUCUGAUACUGGAUGGCUUGAGGUUGGGAGAGGGAUGCGGAAUUCCAGGUGUAGCGGUGAAAUGCGUAGAUAUCUGGAGGAACACCGGUGGCGAAGGCGGCAUCCUGGACCAAUUCUGACACUGAGACACGACGGCGUGGGGAGCAAACGGG
This 253-nucleotide ribosomal RNA is filed under the name uncultured bacterium. Its description in RNAcentral is "partial 16S ribosomal RNA". It matches the Rfam family "Bacterial small subunit ribosomal RNA", at positions 524 to 776 of the family's 1533-position model. The record is from RNAcentral.